GGAAGAUUUAAUUACCCCAUUUCCAGGAUUCUUUUUCGCAUGAGUAUGCUUCUUUUCUCGUACAGCAAAAUCUAUGCACCACAGAAGUUUUAUUUUUUAUUACAUAGGAAGAGAGUUUAAAUGAGAAGCAAAAGAACAGAAACAUUAUCUUUAUAGUGAAGGAGUGAAGAGACAAAUAAAGGAAAUGAAAAGAAAUUAGAUUAAAUUCCAAAUACAAGUUCACUAACUUCAAUUUUCUGCUUGUUUUCGCUCUACAAUUUCCCGUCUUUUCCCUUAUUCUUUUUAUAUUGCCAAAUAUACCAUAAAUAAAUGAGCAUUGCUCUAAAAUCAAAUAUGUUGCCUGGGUUAAAACAGUAGCUGGCCU
RNAcentral lists this unclassified non-coding RNA (364 nucleotides) under Hevea brasiliensis (rubber tree). The record is from RNAcentral. Lineage: Eukaryota; Viridiplantae; Streptophyta; Magnoliopsida; Malpighiales; Euphorbiaceae.